CGCACAUUGCGCCCCUUGGUAUUCCGAGGGGCAUGCCUGUUCGAGCGUCAUUACAACCCUCAAGCACUGCUUGGUAUUGGGCUCCGCUGGUUUCAGCGGGCCUUAAAAUCAGUGGCAGCGCCGUCUGAGCUCUGAGCGUAGUAAAUAUCCUCGCUAUAGAGACCAGGUGGUUCUCGUCAUCAACCCCCAACUUUCUAAGUUUGACCUCGGAUCAGGUAGGGAUACCCGCUGAACUUAA
Molecule: unclassified non-coding RNA, 238 nt
Filed under: Helotiales sp.
Lineage: Eukaryota; Fungi; Ascomycota; Leotiomycetes; Helotiales
Description: partial contains 5.8S ribosomal RNA, internal transcribed spacer 2, and large subunit ribosomal RNA
Source: RNAcentral